CCUACGGGAGGCUGCAGUGAGGAAUAUUGGUCAAUGGACGAGAGUCUGAACCAGCCAAGUAGCGUGAAGGAUGACUGCCCUAUGGGUUGUAAACUUCUUUUAUAAAGGAAUAAAACGAGGCACGUGUGCCUUUUUGCAUGUACUUUAUGAAUAAGGAUCGGCUAACUCCGUGCCAGCAGCCGCGGUAAUACGGAGGAUCCGAGCGUUAUCCGGAUUUAUUGGGUUUAAAGGGAGCGUAGAUGGGUUGUUAAGUCAGUUGUGAAAGUUUGCGGCUCAACCGUAAAAUUGCAAUUGAUACUGGCAGUCUUGAGUACAGUUGAGGUAGGCGGAAUUCGUGGUGUAGCGGUGAAAUGCAUAGAUAUCACGAAGAACUCCGAUUGCGAAGGCAGCUUACCAGUCUGCGACUGACGCUCAGGCACGAAAGUGUGGGUAUCGAACAGGAUUAGAUACCCUUGUAGUC
This 460-nucleotide ribosomal RNA is filed under the name uncultured bacterium. Its description in RNAcentral is "partial 16S ribosomal RNA". It matches the Rfam family "Bacterial small subunit ribosomal RNA", at positions 338 to 795 of the family's 1533-position model. The record is from RNAcentral.